GUUGAACGCUGGCGGCAGGCCUAACACAUGCAAGUCGAGCGGAUGAAGGGAGCUUGCCCCUGGAUUCAGCGGCGGACGGGUGAGUAAUGCCUAGGAAUCUGCCUGGUAGUGGGGGAUAACGUCCGGAAACGGGCGCUAAUACCGCAUACGUCCUGAGGGAGAAAGUGGGGGAUCUUCGGACCUCACGCUAUCAGAUGAGCCUAGGUCGGAUUAGCUAGUUGGUGGGGUAAAGGCCUACCCAGGCGACGAUCCGUAACUGGUCUGGGAGGAUGAUCAGUCAUGCUGGAACUGAGACACGCUCCGGGCUCCUACGGGAGGCAGCAGUCGGGAAUGUUGGACCAGGGGCGAAUACCUGAUCCAGCCCGGCCGCGUGUUGGAAGAAGGUCGUCUGAUGGUAGAGCACUUUAAGGUGGUAGGAAGGUCAGUAUGUUAAUACCGUGCUGUUUUGACGGUACCAACAGAAUAAGCACCGGCUAACUUCGUG
This 484-nucleotide ribosomal RNA is filed under the name uncultured bacterium. RNAcentral's name for it is "partial 16S ribosomal RNA". It matches the Rfam family "Bacterial small subunit ribosomal RNA", at positions 28 to 507 of the family's 1533-position model. The record is from RNAcentral.